RNAcentral lists this long non-coding RNA (996 nucleotides) under Helianthus annuus (common sunflower). RNAcentral's name for it is "hypothetical non coding rna". The record is from RNAcentral. Lineage: Eukaryota; Viridiplantae; Streptophyta; Magnoliopsida; Asterales; Asteraceae.
GCAAAUCAUCCGGACUCGCAACCUCAUUGUUCAAAUUGUCUGACUCGCAACCGCAGUUCCGAGUCGCAACCGAGAUCUCGACUCUUCACGGCUUGUCGCAACCUCAUUGUUCAAAUCGUCUGACUCGCAACCGCAUUUUCGAGUCGCAACCGCAGUUUCUACCUGCAACUCCGUUCAUCUUCACUAAUCGGAGCAUCCCAUCAUUGCCGUAACAACCACGUCGAAACACAACGUUCUCUGUCAUUCUUCAUCUUCUCCGGUCAUCCUCUUCAUCAACCCUCGUCGUCGGACCUGAAACUCCGUCUCCGAUCUUCGUUCUAUCAUCACUCGUUCCACGUCUUCACCAUCUUGUUUUUAGUGUCAACCAUCAACUACAUAUUCAUCUUCUUUGUCGAUAGUCUGCAAAUCUCCAACAUCAACUGUGACCACCAUCAUCGACAACAACCACCACCACGGUUGCGUCCAACAUCAAUAAGUUCUUCAUCGUCAACGUCGUCUUCAACGCGUUCAACGCUCAACUUUAUCACCAUCGUUAUCACCACUAACGUUAUCACCAUCGUUCUGUAUCAACAUCGUCAACGUCAUCACGGUUUCGAGUUGCAACAUCGUUCCGUCUCAACGUUAUCACCAUUGUCUUCAACGCGGUCGCCAUCGUCUUCUCCGCGGUCGCCAACUCCGAUCACCACCUCCGGUCGCCAACUCCGAUCACCAACUCCGAUCACCACCUCUGAUCUCCGUUAACUCCGAUCACCGAGCCGUCAUCGUCACUUUUACCUCUUCUCCGAACAUCUCCAUUUUCAUUCAUUUGUGACGGUUUUAUCGUCGGGAAUAGUGUUAAUCUGAUUUGGUGAUAUAAAGGUUGUUUGUAAGACUUUAUAAUAAUAUUAAUAAUAAUAAUCAAUCAUUAGGAUCAUCAUUACAUAAUUAUUGGUUUUCAUAAUAAUAAUGAUUGGGUUCGUUUGUUUGGUGGUGAAUUCGGUUUUUGACGGGUUUUGA